CGACCAAUCGGCAGGCCGGCCUGUCUAAAGUCUACAGCGGCCAUUGCACGGCGCUCGGGCUCGCGUCCCCAAAUGGCCGAAUCUCGACUGCAUAAUUUCUGGUAGUGGGGGACUGCGUUCGCGCUCUCCCCUG
Molecule: small nuclear RNA, 133 nt
Gene: U1
Rfam family: U1 spliceosomal RNA
About the family: U1 is a small nuclear RNA (snRNA) component of the spliceosome (involved in pre-mRNA splicing).
Source: Ensembl